GAUGAACGCUAGCGGCAGGCUUAACACAUGCAAGUCGAGGGGUAUUUAUCUUCGGAUAGAGAGACCGGCGCACGGGUGCGUAACGCGUAUGCAAUCUACCUUUUACAGAGGGAUAGCCCAGAGAAAUUUGGAUUAAUACCUCAUAGUAUAUAGACUCGGCAUCGAGAUUAUAUUAAAGUCACAACGGUAAAAGAUGAGCAUGCGUCCCAUUAGCUAGUUGGUAAGGUAACGGCUUACCAAGGCUACGAUGGGUAGGGGUCCUGAGAGGGAGAUCCCCCACACUGGUACUGAGACACGGACCAGACUCCUACGGGAGGCAGCAGUGAGGAAUAUUGGACAAUGGGCGCAAGCCUGAUCCAGCCAUGCCGCGUGCAGGAUGACGGUCCUAUUGAUUGUAAACUGCUUUUAUACGAGAAGAAACACUGCUACGUGUAGCAGCUUGACGGUAUCGUAAGAAUAAGGAUCGGCUAACUCCGUG
Molecule: ribosomal RNA, 478 nt
Filed under: uncultured bacterium
Lineage: Bacteria
Description: partial 16S ribosomal RNA
Rfam family: Bacterial small subunit ribosomal RNA
Source: RNAcentral